AUAAACUACUCGUUCAAAGACGUGCAAGAGAAAAGACAAUGACUUUCCAUCCAAAGAAAAAUCAUACAACCAAAAAACUUUGCGUCAAACUAAUUUCCAGCAUAGUGGAGUCGAGUAGAUUAUUAAGUCUUUGGUAUCACCAAUACCAAAGUCAAGGUGAAGAAAAAAAAAUGAGAAACAGAGAGCGAGAAGAUAUUAAGUUACAAAAUGAAUGCAUGUCAAAUUUUCAAUAAAAGGAGUCAUUGGAAUGCUCCUCCACUACAAACACAUGACCUGAUCUAAACAAGUCCACUAAUUCCAUAAAGCUAACUAAAAAUGCAACAUGCUUCUCUCAUUAGCUUCUUUUCCUUUUGUCAUCAUUCUUUGAUUGGUAACAGAAAGGAAAUGAGAGAAAAAUUAUAGCCAAGGAUCAAUGAUUGAUGGUUGUCUACGACUUCUUCAUGAGAUACCCCAAAAUUAUGCCAAGCAUGCCAACAAAGAUGACAAACAUAAAUGAGACACCAGCGCGGUUUUUGUUGCCUUGACGUUUCAGGAGUUCCUGCAUGUAGUAAUCUCAUAAAAUGAGCUAUUCCCAUUAAUCAAAGAUCAUACGAAUGGAAAACAGGCAUGUCAAACCAUAUGAUUAUUUUUCACACAUAGAACACCAGCUUGAAAUUUCACAGUAAACAUGCAUUUUCUAAUUCAGACGCCUUGAGAACCAAAUAAGACACAGUUCCAAAGUAAACAUAUUAAUCAACCCUCUGCUAAAUAAGCAAUACUUUUGGACAAACUUGAAACUAGGGAAAUCAGGAAAGAACUGCUCAAAGGGGUAAAGGCUGCUUUAAAUUCAAUAUGAACAAAAUAACAAUAUGAUGGACAGAAAGAAUUCAGGAAGAUGAGCUAGAGAGAAACAAAUGAAUACAAAAACAACUGUUGUGGAAACAGGGCCAGAAUGCAAAGUAAAGCCAUGUGCCCAACAAAUACCAUGUAACCCACCUUUAAGUUUCUUUUCUUUUUUUAUUCACUACUGGAUAUGAAAAAGCAACACAAUCAUACACUCUGCACUGUUAUAAUUUAACCUUGACGCAAUAGCCGAAACCAGGUAAGAAAAUAGUUAUUCAAGGCAUUAAAGUUUUCCAAAAGAGAAUACAUCAAGAAAGUUUCAAAUACAGGUUAUUUUAAAACAAGCACCAUAAAGAAGCAUGGAAGAAAAGUAAUCCUACGACCACACUAAAGGCUUUUCCAAUGUCAAUGUGGAAUGCAAAACUACAGGUCAGUGAGCACAGAUCAUAGAUUCUCUUGUUUAUGAGUCUGCUAAUGCAUACUCAAACAAGGCAUAACUUUUAUGUAUCUACAGAAAAUGUAAAUUAUUUAACAAGUGAAUUGAAAAACCAAGAAACUUUUGAACACCACACAUUAGUUUCCUCUCGUAUCUGACAGUGUGUCCCUUAAUUCUGCUUGUGACUUGUGAUAUAAUAAAUAAAUCAGAUAUAUAAUAAAAAGUAGCAAUGCAGAUAUUGGUGUGAUAUGUGUGGGAACUGGCCGCCCAAAAUUAUAAAGGUGGGGACAAGCUGGUUCUAGGGCUAGAGCUUUGAUUUGGAGCUUCUAAAAUAUCUAGCAAAGAUAUGGGAACUUAGAUGAUGACUUCUGGCACAAACAGCACUUAUUUAAAGUUUCUUUUGGUUUAUAUUCCUACUGGUCCUUUUUUAUCAUUAGUUUAUAGAUAUUUUGGAGUUAACAGAUCUGGAAUGGGCUGUAGUAGCAAGCCAAACAUUCUGUAGCCUCUGAGCUCUUCUGAAAACAUGAUUGCCUACUUUUACUAAGUGAAAUUUCUAAGGAAUCCAACAUUUGAUGCUACCUAUUGUUUCCCCCUGUUCUUUCCUCCACAUUCAGGCCUAAAAUCCAAGAAAGUAUUUGCUGAAUUCAGCCACAACACAGCCACUAAUAUUUACAUAACUGAGGCCGCAGGCCUCAAAUCUGAUUAGUUAUUCCUUUCAAUGGGCUGGACUCAGAAAUUUCACCUCUUUUGUUCUCAACGACUGGUGUCACAGGUCAAAAUUCAUGUAAAGCAAAUUGAAAAUUCGGAAAAUUGGAUCCUGUAAGAGAAUAGAUGAUUAAUAUUCCACACAAAUGAAGUCAUGGAUUAACGGGCUUACCAAUUCUUGACGAAGCUUGGUAUUUUGUUGAAUUGCACUAUUUUUUUCCUCAGUCAGCUUUGAAAUAAGAGCUUUUGCCUAAAAUUUACCAAGAUUUAUUAACAGUAAUUAGAUCAUAUACAUGAUCAAGACACAAUGAAAAUGCAACUAUAGCACAAAUAACAAGUGUGGCUGAGAAGUGAAGAGAUGGGAAGACAGAGAAUGAAGAAUAAUAAAAAGUGGGCUACAUAUAUUUUUACAAUGGUGUAUGCUGAGUCUUCCACUGCAGACAUUCAAUAUUUAAUUUCAAGAGACAUUCCAAAUGAUUCUUAUCUACAGAAGGAGGAGAGAAAAAGAAUUCAUAUCACCUAAGUAGCAUUACAUCAGUGAAAAGGAAACAAACAUCUAAAACUCAAAAGAGAAACUAUCAGAAUGUGCAAACAAGUAGAGUGAAGCUAAUGCUGGAUGAUGAUUCCACCAUACAAAGUGAUGAACUUUUCCUCGUAAAAAAAAGUAAGUGAAAAAAAAAAAAUACAAUCUUAAUACAGCCGUAGAAAGUCUUAGCAUGCAAAUAAUUAUAAUAGACAAAAUAAAUGACUCAUGAAAGAAAAUACAUAAACUUUGAAGACAACACUAAAGUUUCCAUUCACAGUUGGUAAGCAAAUUCAUUACCAUCUAUGGAUAACAAAAUCAUGCUAGGGCACCACCUUAUUUAAGGCUAUAAAUUUGAAAAGAACAUUUCAAAUUGCACAGGCCAUCUACCAUAGGACAAUCAUAACAAAGUUAAACCAAAUGAUCUUGUAGGUGAGGUGUAUAUUAGAUACUGUCUACCGUCUACUGUCUAGUCUAUAGCUUAAGAAAGUUGCCCAAUGCUUAAUCUUGUCCAUGGAACUAUAUAGGGCCAUUGCUUGUCAUUGAGAAAGCAGAGGAAAAGUAUAAUUAAGGUGGAGACAUGAAUGGUCAAAAUUGUAAAAACCCAAUAAAAUGUAAUGGGAAUGAAAGCUUUCCACCAUAGCAUGCAAAUUGACCACACAAACAAAUCUAAAUGAAUUUUACCUCUGAAGAUUUGUCUUGAGGUUCAAACUGCUCAACAAAUGCUCUCGAAGCAUUAGAAAAGUCAGUACCGUUUGCAUUUCCAUUAUCCGAUACAGAACCUCUUGGGGAAGACCCUUCCUCAGAUCCUUCCGGAACAGGAGAAGGGGGCUCAGGCGGAGAAACAUACAGCACUCUCAAUUUGCACUCUUCAACAUGAUGCCCCGCCUCCUUAUUGAACAUUUCAGCAUUGAUAUCCUUUGCAGUUGCACCGUCAUGUGUUUUGACACUCUGAAGUAAAAACUUGUCCUUGCAUUGCAUCUCAGGAGGAGACUCCUUUUGUGCUUGCAUUGUAACUGAGUGAAUGACAAAGUUUAAAAAUUCAUUACAUUUACAUCGCGGAUCAUAACUACGAAGUAAAACCACAAAAAUCCACCACAUGGGCACCUAUAACAUCGCAUGCGGACCGAGGCAACACGAUCCCAGCAUUCGGUCGAACACAAUACUUCUUUGGAUUCGUAGUCUUGACCUUGAAAGCAACAUAACUAUCAGUUUUAUUGGACAAUUGAAGAGAACAAGAGAUCUGCUUCUUCAAUUCAAAUGGAAAUUUGAGCUCUAGAGGUUCGAUGCUGAGAAGCUCUCCCGUGCUCAUCUCGAAAGAAAUGGGGAAUUCCAAAAAAAAGAAAACAAAAAAAAAUUAAAAGUUAUUUUUCGAAAGGAGAUUUGAAGAAGAUCCGGAAAUAUAUGUGGAAUCUGUUUUUGAAAAGUGUUUUCAGAGAACAGAAAACGAUAGAGAGGCGGACAGAUCGAGAGAGAGAGCGUUUGCGGAAUUUAUUAUGGCGUCUUUUUUCGUUUUCACUUUGGAUUUUCUCUCCUUGUUUAAUAGCAACAGAAGCCUCUCUCUCCCCCAAAACCAACUUUUUUUUUAAUUUCUUUUCCACUUAAUAAAAUCACUUCUCUUGUAAACAAAUAGAAAAGCCCUUCAAGAUAUCCUUUAUGGGAUUUUUUUUUAUUUUAAAAUUUUUUAAAAAAAUCAUUAAAUAUAAUUAAAGCACCUUUAC
This 4207-nucleotide unclassified non-coding RNA is filed under the name Hevea brasiliensis (rubber tree). Lineage: Eukaryota; Viridiplantae; Streptophyta; Magnoliopsida; Malpighiales; Euphorbiaceae. The record is from RNAcentral.